UUACAGUGCCUCACUGUACAGGCUGCGCUGCCGGUGGGGUUUCAGUUGAAGUGCAGCCUCUACAGUGUGGCACAACGGUUUCCCAUGGCAGAGGCAGCGUAUGUGGUGUCAGAGUACAUGUAGAUGUUCCAAGUCUUCCCUGGUCCAUGCAUGGCUUCAAAGAAGCACAUGUCAACGUUACCAUGUGGACGCAUCGAACCGCGGCCAGCGCCUCCAGGCCUAGAUGUGAUUGAACCGUGCAGCUGGUCAGCCUUUCAUUGUUUCUUCCCACUGAGUACCUCAGGGGCGGGGUUUUGAAGACGAAGGGAGAGGGUGGAUGCGAUGCCAGGAAGAGAAAGUCUGCAGCGGCGUUGCCACAAGGAUAACCUACCUGGACACAAUGAGGCCACUGCUAAUGUGGACAUCUCGCUGGCUUACAGGACGGGACACAUGACUUGGGAUGCAAUGUGAAAUACUGUACACGCCUGAUGAGAUUCACUAAUUAAUUCAGUGGGAUGAUGGGUACGUUUGAUUAAAAGAUUGCCUUUUGAACCUACUGUAACACGGGGCGGUAGAUUGCUGUCUCUGGCCGUUCACCCUGAUUAGAGUGAUUUCAGCUGAUGUUAACGAUAAGCGUUGAAAAGUGGAGUUUCAUAGUUAACAUUUUUUAUUAAAAUUUA
Long non-coding RNA from Acanthopagrus latus (yellowfin seabream), 659 nucleotides. RefSeq lists it as uncharacterized. The transcript has 3 exons. Lineage: Eukaryota; Metazoa; Chordata; Actinopteri; Spariformes; Sparidae. The record is from RefSeq and is a predicted model, not a curated record.